RNAcentral lists this ribosomal RNA (215 nucleotides) under Shigella boydii ATCC 9905. Its description in RNAcentral is "partial large subunit ribosomal RNA". It matches the Rfam family "Bacterial large subunit ribosomal RNA", at positions 2736 to 2925 of the family's 2925-position model. Lineage: Bacteria; Pseudomonadati; Pseudomonadota; Gammaproteobacteria; Enterobacterales; Enterobacteriaceae. The record is from RNAcentral.
CACUGCCCGGUAGCUAAAUGCGGAAGAGAUAAGUGCUGAAAGCAUCUAAGCACGAAACUUGCCCCAAGAUGAGUUCUCCCUGACUCCUUGAGAGUCCUGAAGGAACGUUGAAGACGACGACGUUGAUAGGCCGGGUGUGUAAGCGCAGCGAUGCGUUGAGCUAACCGGUACUAAUGAACCGUGAGGCUUAACCUUACAACGCCGAAGGUGUUUUG